RNAcentral lists this transfer RNA (67 nucleotides) under Curculionidae sp. KM-2017. Its description in RNAcentral is "tRNA-Leu". It matches the Rfam family "tRNA". Rfam says of the family: Transfer RNA (tRNA) molecules are approximately 80 nucleotides in length. Their secondary structure includes four short double-helical elements and three loops (D, anti-codon, and T loops). Further hydrogen bonds mediate the characteristic L-shaped molecular structure. tRNAs have two regions of fundamental functional importance: the anti-codon, which is responsible for specific mRNA codon recognition, and the 3' end, to which the tRNAs corresponding amino acid is attached (by aminoacyl-tRNA synthetases). tRNAs cope with the degeneracy of the genetic code in two manners: having more than one tRNA (with a specific anti-codon) for a particular amino acid; and 'wobble' base-pairing, i.e. permitting non-standard base-pairing at the 3rd anti-codon position. The record is from RNAcentral. Lineage: Eukaryota; Metazoa; Arthropoda; Insecta; Coleoptera; Curculionidae.
UCUAAUAUGGCAGAUUAGUGCAUUGGAUUUAAGCUCCAAUUAUAAAGUUAACUUACUUUUUUUAGAA